Long non-coding RNA from Oncorhynchus keta (chum salmon), 884 nucleotides. RefSeq lists it as uncharacterized. NCBI's taxonomy places the organism in Eukaryota, Metazoa, Chordata, Actinopteri, Salmoniformes, Salmonidae. The record is from RefSeq and is a predicted model, not a curated record. The transcript is spliced from 3 exons.
GUGUCGAAAGCGUUCCACAGGGGAUGCUGGCCCAUGUUGACUCUACAAGGUGUCGAAAGCGUUCCACAGGGAUGCUGGCCCAUGUUGACUCUACAAGGUGUCGAAAGCGUUCCACAGGGAUGCUGGCCCAUGUUGACUCUACAAGGUGUUGAAAGCGUUCCACAGGGAUGCUGGUCCAUGUUGACUCUACAAGGUGUCUAAAGCGUUCCACGGGGAUGCUGGCCCAUGUUGACUCUACAAGGUGUCGAAAGCGUUCCACAGGGAUGCUGGCCCAUGUUGACUCUACAAGGUGUUGAAAGCGUUCCACAGGGAUGCUGGCCCAUGUUGACUCUACAAGGUGUUGAAAGCGUUCCACAGGGAUGCUGGUCCAUGUUGACUCUACAAGGUGUUGAAAGCGUUCCACAGGGAUGCUGGCCCCAUGUUGACUCUACAAGGUGUCUAAAGCGUUCCACGGGGAUGCUGGCCCCAUGUUGACUCUACAAGGUGUCGAAAGCGUUCCACAGGGAUGCUGGCCCCAUGUUGACUCUACAAGGUGUUGAAAGCGUUCCACAGGGAUGCUGGCCCAUGUUGACUCUACAAGGUGUCUGAAAGCGUUCCACAGGGAUGCUGGCCCAUGUUGACUCUACAAGGUGUCGAAAGCGUUCCACAGGGAUGCUGGUCCAUGUUGACUCUACAAGGUGUCGAAAGCGUUCCACAGGGAUGCUGGUCCAUGUUGACUCUACAAGGUGUUGAAAGCGUUCCACAGGGAUGCUGGCCCAUGUUGACUCUACAAGGUGUUGAAAGCGUUCCACAGGGAUGCUGGCCCAUGUUUACUCUACAAGGUGUCUGAAAGCGUUCCACAGGGAUGCUGGCCCAUGUUGACUCUACAAGGUGUUGAAAGAGUU